GAUGAACGCUGGCGGCGUGCCUAAUACAUGCAAGUCGAGCGAACAGACGAGGAGCUUGCUCCUCUGACGUUAGCGGCGGACGGGUGAGUAACACGUGGAUAACCUACCUAUAAGACUGGGAUAACUUCGGGAAACCGGAGCUAAUACCGGAUAAUAUAUUGAACCGCAUGGUUCAAUAGUGAAAGACGGUUUUGCUGUCACUUAUAGAUGGAUCCGCGCCGCAUUAGCUAGUUGGUAAGGUAACGGCUUACCAAGGCAACGAUGCGUAGCCGACCUGAGAGGGUGAUCGGCCACACUGGAACUGAGACACGGUCCAGACUCCUACGGGAGGCAGCAGUAGGGAAUCUUCCGCAGUGGGCGAAAGCUUGACGGAGCAACGCCGCGUGAGUGAUGAAGGUCUUCGGAUCGUAAAACUCUGUUAUUAGGGAAGAACAAAUGUGUAAGUAACUAUGCACGUCUUGACGGUACCUAAUCAGAAAGCCACGGCUAACUACGUG
RNAcentral lists this ribosomal RNA (497 nucleotides) under uncultured bacterium. Its description in RNAcentral is "partial 16S ribosomal RNA". It matches the Rfam family "Bacterial small subunit ribosomal RNA", at positions 28 to 507 of the family's 1533-position model. The record is from RNAcentral.